Molecule: ribosomal RNA, 389 nt
Filed under: uncultured eukaryote
Lineage: Eukaryota
Description: partial 18S ribosomal RNA
Rfam family: Eukaryotic small subunit ribosomal RNA
Source: RNAcentral
UAGUAGCGUAUAUUAAUGUUGUUGCAGUUAAAAAGCUCGUAGUUGGAUUUCUGGUUUGAUGUGUCUGGCCCGUUGUUAUGCAACGUUGUGCUGUGAUAUCAUCUGCCAUCCCUUCCAGGGAGUGGUUGUCAGCUUUCGGGUUGACUUCCGUAUACGACCUGGAUCUUUUACUUUGAGAAAAUUAGAGUGUUCAAAGCAGGCUUGCGCUACUGAAUACAUUAGCAUGGAAUAAUAAUAUAGGACUUUGGUUCUAUUUGUUGGUUCAAGAGCUGAAGUAAUGAUUGAUAGGGAUAGUUGGGGGUGCUAGUAUUCUGCGGUCAGAGGUGGAAUUCUUGGAUUCGCGGAAGACUAACUAAUGCGAAAGCAUUCACCAAGGAUGUCUUCUUUAA